AGAGAGAGACAUGCGCGCAUAUCAAUAAGCGGAGGAAAAGAAACUAACAAGGAUUCCCCUAGUAACGGCGAGUGAAGCGGGAAGAGCUCAAAUUUGAAAUCUUAAAGGGUUUCCCUUUACGAAUUGUAGUUUAAAGAAGUGUUUUCUGUUGAGGUUUUGGUAAAAGUUCUUUGGAAUAGGACAUCAUAGAGGGUGAGAAUCCCGUAUUUGACCCUUACUUUCAACUUUGUGAUACACUUUCAAAGAGUCGGAUUGUUUGGGAAUGCAGUCCAAAAUGGGUGGUAAAUUUCAUCUAAAGCUAAAUAUUGGCGAGAGACCGAUAGCGAACAAGUACCGUGAGGGAAAGAUGAAAAGAACUUUGAAAAGAGAGUUAAACAGUACGUGAAAUUGUCAAAAGGGAAGCGUUUGACACCAGUGUUGUUUUUCUGAAAAUCAAUUAAAGAACUGUUUAUGCUAAGUUGUUUAGACUUUAUCAGCUAACUGUUUAGUUUUGAGCUUUUCUUUAAUGCACUUUUCAGUUAACAAGUCAACAUCAAUUUCUUUUGCUGUAAAAAAGCUUGAGGAAGGUGGCUUGAGAUUCGUCUUAAGUGUUUAUAGCCUCUUGCCUAUGCAGUCGGAGAGAUUGAGGUCUGCAGCGUAGAUCCUUCGGGGCUAAAUGCAUUUGUGCUAAGUUAUAGCAUUUUAUAGACAACUUGUUGACUAUGAUUUGUCUUGUAGCUUACUCGCUUAUGUUAUUUUACCUACGCUUAGGAUGUUGAAGACUCUACAGAGAUA
RNAcentral lists this ribosomal RNA (774 nucleotides) under uncultured Neocallimastigales. Its description in RNAcentral is "partial large subunit ribosomal RNA". It matches the Rfam family "Eukaryotic large subunit ribosomal RNA", at positions 23 to 633 of the family's 3401-position model. Lineage: Eukaryota; Fungi; Neocallimastigomycota; Neocallimastigomycetes; Neocallimastigales. The record is from RNAcentral.